GUCCUAGCCGUAAACGGUGCACGUUUGCUGUGAGUGGAAUCGACCCCACUCGUGGCGUAGCUAACGCGUUAAACGUGCCGCCUGGGAAGUACGGUCGCAAGAUUAAAACUCAAAGAAAUUGACGGGGGCCUGCACAAGCGGUGGAGUAUGUGGCUCAAUUCGAUGCAACGCGAAGAACCUUACCUGGCCUUGACAUGUACGUAGUAGAAGGGUGAAAGCCUAACGAGGUAGCAAUACCAGCGUACACAGGUGCUGCAUGGCUGUCGU
Molecule: ribosomal RNA, 267 nt
Filed under: uncultured bacterium
Lineage: Bacteria
Description: partial 16S ribosomal RNA
Rfam family: Bacterial small subunit ribosomal RNA
Source: RNAcentral